CCUACGGGAGGCAGCAGUGGGGAAUAUUGGGCAAUGGAGGCAACUCUGACCCAGCAACGCCGCGUGAAUGAUGAAGGUCUUCGGAUUGUAAGUUCUGUGGUGGGGGGUGAACAAAAUGACGGUAACCCAAUAGCAAGCCACGGCUAACUAAGGGCCAGCAGCCGCGGGAAUACGUAGGUGGCAAGCGUUAACCGGAAUGACUGGGCGUAAAGGGUGGGUAGGUGGUUUAGUAAGUUGGCGGUGUAAUUCCGGGGCUCAACCUCGGCGCUACCGCCAAAACUAUUAGACUAGAGUGCAGGAGGGGUAAGUGGAAUUCCUAGUGUAGCGGUGGAAUGCGUAGAUAUUAGGAGGAACAUCAGGGGCGAAGGCGACUUACUGGACUGUAACUGACACUGAGGCACGAAAGCGUGGGGAGCAAACAGGAUUAGAUACCCGAGUAGUC
This 442-nucleotide ribosomal RNA is filed under the name uncultured bacterium. RNAcentral describes it as "partial 16S ribosomal RNA". It matches the Rfam family "Bacterial small subunit ribosomal RNA", at positions 338 to 795 of the family's 1533-position model. The record is from RNAcentral.